UGGGGAAUUUUGGACAAUGGGCGAAAGCCUGAUCCAGCAAUGCCGCGUGUGCGAAGAAGGCCUUCGGGUUGUAAAGCACUUUUGUCCGGAAAGAAAUCCUUGGCUCUAAUACAGUCGGGGGAUGACGGUACCGGAAGAAUAAGCACCGGCUAACUACGUGCCAGCAGCCGCGGUAAUACGUAGGGUGCAAGCGUUAAUCGGAAUUACUGGGCGUAAAGCGUGCGCAGGCGGUUUGCUAAGACCGAUGUGAAAUCCCCGGGCUCAACCUGGGAACUGCAUUGGUGACUGGCAGGCUAGAGUAUGGCAGAGGGGGGUAGAAUUCCACGUGUAGCAGUGAAAUGCGUAGAGAUGUGGAGGAAUACCGAUGGCGAAGGCAGCCCCCUGGGCCAAUACUGACGCUCAUGCACGAAAGCGUGGGGAGCAAACAGGAUUAGAUACCCUGGUAGUCCACGCCCUAAACGAUGUCAACUAGUUGUUGGGGAUUCAUUUCCUUAGUAACGUAGCUAACGCGUGAAGUUGACCGCCUGGGGGAGUACGGUCGCAAGAUUAAAACUUAAAGGAAUUGACGGGGUCAUAGCUGUUUCCU
Molecule: ribosomal RNA, 586 nt
Filed under: uncultured bacterium
Lineage: Bacteria
Description: partial 16S ribosomal RNA
Rfam family: Bacterial small subunit ribosomal RNA
Source: RNAcentral